This 503-nucleotide long non-coding RNA is filed under the name Elaeis guineensis (African oil palm). Its description in RNAcentral is "long non-coding RNA (EGUI_LNC080951)". The record is from RNAcentral. Lineage: Eukaryota; Viridiplantae; Streptophyta; Magnoliopsida; Arecales; Arecaceae.
UUCCAAAUUGAUUCUAGAAUCAAAAUUUUUUCAAUUUUUGUCAAGCUCAUAAGUCAAGAUUGACAUCUAAUAAUAUAUCAUGAAUACUCAAAAAAUUUAAAAUUUUGAUGAAAAAUUAUCAAAAUACCCUUCAGUGGUAAGUUCCUAUGUAAUUCAAUCCUUCAAUCAAAUAACAUUCUAAAUAAGCUGUGGACAUGAAAAUAUGUUAAACUGAAUCACUUAUCUUUAUGUAUCUCAAUCUGAAGGUGAUGAUUCAGUUGAUGAUACAUUAGAAAUUAUUUUUUAAUUAUCACCCUACUUUGGCCAAAGACUUCCAGAAUCACCAUCCUAUAAGAUCACAUAAGAUGUUCGCUCCCCUUAUUAGGAGUGACUGAUCCCUUAUUGAUUACUCACAACCUCUAUGCACACUUCACCAUAUCCAGAAUAUCGCACACAAUGAUCAAAAAAUUAAAUUAGGUGUGAACCAAAAUAUGGAUCUAUGUAUACAAGGUACUAUAGUGACC